AGGUGCCUCAGCAAAGACAAUGUCAUAAGAGGGAAUUAUAUGUCAUUCUGGGGAGUUUAGCAAGAACUGGUUCAAAUGGGAAGAAGUGGACCUCAGAACUGUCAGCAUCCCCACUCACUUAGUCAUGGAUGUGGACUGUCCUUGGACUGUACUCCCCUUGGAUCUCACCCAGCUCCCACCCAUCGUGGCUCCCCUGGAAUUCUGUGUUUGGGGACACUGGACCAGCAUACACCGUCUCGGAAUAUGCCAUUUUGGUAGAAGGACUAUUUUGAGCUGGACGCAAGUGGUGAUCAGUAGAUGCAGAGAGGUGCCUUCCUGGAGCCUCCUCUAUCUGACUAAAAGCAGAAACUUGUGGAAGAUGGAGGCUGCCGUAAACCUCCUCUCCUGGGGAAAAUGUACGGCCAUGGAAAGAAAAAAAGGAAAUCUGGCCCCGAGAUGGACCUGGGCAAACCCACCUUGCUCCCUUGGCUUCCCUCGUGGAUUUGCCUUUCAACAGUUUGCCAUCCUGGGAAGCCUGGAAACCUUUUCCUUUGUCUUGUCACUUCUCUACAAAUGUAUCGUUUAAAAUGCUAUAUAAGCUCAAGUUCUAACCACCUCUGUGAGUUAAUCAUUAUGAGGUUUCUCCCAGGUGAUGGGUACUGCACACAUCUGUAAACCGUCUCUUAUUAACCUGCCUUUUGUCAAAUUUUACAGGGCUCCAGGAGAACCUAGAAGAGUAGAAGGGAAAAUUACCCUUUUCUUCCCCUGCACUGGUUUCCAACUUACCUAGCCUCGUGCCUUUCAAGCCUCCCCUCUGCAAGUUUAUUCUUGUACCAGGGCACAAAAUGAACAAGCCAGGGUCUCCACUCUGAAACGUCAGUGGAACGAUCAAAUGCUUGCCUUUAUGACCAUAAAUCCUGCUCCUUCGAGUCAUACCUCAGGUCUAACAUGGGAUUCAUCUACUCUGUGAUUCACACGUUUUUCCCUGAAGAUCCCCUUCUGGGGGGGAAGAGAUCUGAGGGCAAUGCUAGAAGCAGCUGCCUGGUGAAAUGGCUUUGAAAUCUCCAGUUUUAAUCUUACACAUUCAUGUGAAUUUUGCAUUCUAUCCAUAAACAAUCUGAAUUUGUUUGAAUGUAGAUCUGCUUUAAUUAGCCCUAUUAAAUCAAUUAAUAUGCCUUUCAAACUUUUCAGGAAAGCUGAUCCUCAAGGAAGGUAAUUAUUAUGUGGCUUUACGUAACAUGCCCCAAAUUUGUGAACCAUAGAUGCAUUUUAUGCAUUCUGUUUUUGAUUUUUUUAAAAAAAAUGUUAAUUGAGCACUGACUAUAUAUAAAGGUAACAUGCUGGGCAUUGUGGAUAUUAGGGUAAGGAAAACAGACCCUCUUCCUAGACCCCCAAAGUGUACAGUCUAGCAUUACCCAGGAUGAAGACUAAGGUAAGGCUAGUAUUACUUCACUGGAAUCACAAACUACAAUGCCAUUUUGUAUUUUCAAUAACUGAAGCUCAUUAAAAGCAAGAACUCAAGUCUUCUGAAACCACUUGUUCAGUGGUCUUUCCAAGUCUUAAUGCUGAUGCCAUCACUCUUGAAAUAAAAUAUGUCCACAUGGAUGUGGUUGGGGUGGGAGGUGGGGAGUGAGACUGAAGAAAAUGCAAAAGAGAAUAUUGUUGCUCUAACCAGAGUUUCAAUGUGGAUUCAUUAGUACAAAUGAACUCCCUCCCUGGUGAACCAAAGUGAGUUUAAUCGCUAAGAAAUAAUUCACUGCUGACAGACAGGAUGAGCCAAAUGACCUUGUUCCUUGUAUUCCAUUUCUGGAUUUUUAUGAGACUUUUCCACCUCACUGGAAAGUCGUCUUAGUCAAUCAAUUUUACGUAUUUGGUUUGGAUCACUUUCCUUAGGUAGAUUAAGAUCCAAGUGUGCUUUUGUGUUUUUAACUGUAUUAAUUGCUUGAUCAACUUCCAUUUCAGAGAGGUCCAGCCAAGUGCUUCCUGCUUGUAUCUCUGCUGCUCUGAAAGCUGCUUCUCUGUUUUUUUCCUUUUCAUGUAUUAACCCCACACUUGCCGUGAAAAUUUUACAAAUUUUGCACUCUGGCAAGUGUAUUGCAUUUAUAUUUGAAUUCCAUUAGAAGCUUUCAUGCACGAUUGAACUUGUUUAUGUUCCUCCCUUCUGAUCAAAUGCCUUAGAUCUAAAAUCUGUCCCUGACUCAAUGGCAUGGCAAACAAAUCUCAUUCUUGCGAAAUAAUUUCUCAGUAAUUCAAAUUGAAAAAGAGGAGGGAGAAAGGUGUCCAAAAUCAGACUCUUUUCAUUGUAGGUGCAAAUGAAUUCCUAGAACUGAUAAAGGUUCAACUAAGCAUUUUGAAAUAAUCACAAAAACCCAAUGAGAAAGUAUAUGUAUACACACACACACACACACACACACACACAU
Long non-coding RNA from Phacochoerus africanus (Common warthog), 2399 nucleotides. RefSeq lists it as uncharacterized. The transcript has 3 exons. NCBI's taxonomy places the organism in Eukaryota, Metazoa, Chordata, Mammalia, Artiodactyla, Suidae. The record is from RefSeq and is a predicted model, not a curated record.